CUUUCUCGAUGUUUGUAACAUUACUCUGCUUUGUUUUGUUGUUGCAGGUCUCCGUCUGAUUGUGGAAACCAAUCAUUUGUUCAAGCUUGCUUGAUUUUCAGGCAGUGAGUAGAUGUAACAAUACUUGGGAUCAAAUUUCAGGGAAUUGAUUACUUGAAGUAUGACAACUGCAACUCAGUCUUCUGUCUCCAAUACUUAAUUCCUUUUGUGUCAGUCUGAUUUUGGCAACCAAUUUUUUGUUUAAGAUCCUUGAGAAAGAUCCUUUCCAUUUGAAGUGUACCUUGGGUACAAUUUGGUCGCUGCCAUGGAACUUGGCAAAUCAAAUGAGCUCUAUCUAAUUAAUGGCGUGCAAUUUGGUGAAAGACUACUACCCUUCAAAGUACGUGUUAAAAUAAUUUUACCUUCAAAUUAAGUGUUAAAAUAAAUUAUCUCAAGCUAUAUUGCCAAUUAUAGUUGUUCCUAUGAUUUUAUCCCAAUCCUAGUUAGGAUAUAUAUAGUUAACCUGUUUUGAAGUUGAGCUUGUCAAGACCAUGAAUCAACUUCAAGAGCAUGUGUUUUUUGGUUGAAUAUGUUUUCUGUACUGUACUUGAUCUCGUUGAACAUGUCAAAAUCGUUUUUGUGGUUGAG
Molecule: non-coding RNA, 627 nt
Organism: Camelina sativa (false flax)
Lineage: Eukaryota; Viridiplantae; Streptophyta; Magnoliopsida; Brassicales; Brassicaceae
Source: RefSeq, a predicted model, not a curated record